GUGACCUGGUUGACAUUCAGCUUUGCCCAUACAGAAAUAAAUCACAUUUUACACACAGCAAAAUAUCCAGUGUUGUUUAGAGUUGUUUUUAUGGUGUUCAUUUCUGGUGUUGAUCUGAAUGACAUUAACACUUGCAGUGUAAAUCAGUGGUCGGAGUCAGUGUAAUUUCAGCGAGUUGACAUAAUUGACACUGGUGAUGAGUUGAUCCAAUUUCCAGUCCCUGCACAUUAUUUCCUUUUUGAUUAAUGGAGAGGACAGUGUUCAAACAGGUAUAUUAUUUUAUAACCACUUAAAUUGACCAAUUUUCAUGUUUAGUUUACGUUUCUCACCAUCCAGAAUAACAUUAGUACAUUUCUCAACAUUGCUAGAGUGCUAACAGUGUUUCUUUUCAGAUAACGUGACAGACCACCGACAGCAUCUCGAGGCCAUUUAGCUGCACCACUUGCUAGCAAGCAAAUUGAGCUUUCAUGUUCAUCAAGGCGUGAAGACAUUUGUAAAACUGCACAGCAAUAGUAGGUUCCAAGACUUUCUCACUGAAGGAGAUCCCCACCCGCAAACAGCAGGAAACUUAUGCCUUGGGCAUUAUUUCUCUCUUUCCUAGCCUGAGAGACCAGUUUUUAACAAAGGGCUAUGUAAGAACCUUUUGCAUUGAUGUACUUUUU
This 662-nucleotide long non-coding RNA is filed under the name Sinocyclocheilus grahami. Its description in RNAcentral is "lncRNA (ENSSGRG00000014520.1)". Lineage: Eukaryota; Metazoa; Chordata; Actinopteri; Cypriniformes; Cyprinidae. The record is from RNAcentral.